Molecule: ribosomal RNA, 292 nt
Filed under: uncultured bacterium
Lineage: Bacteria
Description: partial 16S ribosomal RNA
Rfam family: Bacterial small subunit ribosomal RNA
Source: RNAcentral
GUGCCAGCAGCCGCGGUAAUACAGAGGGUGCAAGCGUUGUUCGGAAUUAUUGGGCGUAAAGGGAGUGUAGGCGGUUUGUUAAGUCUUCUGUGAAAUCUACGGGCUUAGCCUGUAACGUGCAGAGGAAACUGGCAGGCUUGAGUGUCGGAGAGGGUAGCGGAAUUCCCGGUGUAGAGGUGAAAUUCGUAGAGAUCGGGAGGAACACCAGUGGCGAAGGCGGCUACCUGGCUGACAACUGACGCUGAGACUCGAAAGCAUGGGGAGCAAACAGGAUUAGAUACCCUGGUAGUCC